UCCUAGUAUCUCCCUCUAAUUCAUUCAUGUCUUAGCGGGUCGUAAAGGUUGCUAAAUAAAUUUGAAUUCUUUUUUUAAAUAAUUACUUUACACUAAAUUUGUAUGGUAAAUAUUUAAGAAUUCUACAAUU
This 130-nucleotide small nucleolar RNA is filed under the name Tetrahymena malaccensis 436. RNAcentral describes it as "Tetrahymena snoRNA TtnuHACA18". It matches the Rfam family "Tetrahymena snoRNA TtnuHACA18". Lineage: Eukaryota; Ciliophora; Oligohymenophorea; Hymenostomatida; Tetrahymenidae. The record is from Rfam by way of RNAcentral.